GACGAACGCUGGCGGCGCGCUUAACACAUGCAAGUCGAGCGAGAACCAGCCCUUCGGGGCUGGGGAAAGCGGCGAACGGGUGAGUAACACGUGAGUAACCUGCCCUCGGCACCGGGAUAGCCCGGGGAAACCCGGAUUAAUACCGGAUGGCCUUUCGGAUCUUCGGAUCCGUCAGAAAAGGUGGCUUCGGCUUCUGGCCGAGGAGGGGCUCGCGGCGGAUUAGCUUGUUGGUGGGGUAAUGGCUCACCAAGGCGACGAUCCGUAGCUGGUCUGAGAGGACGAUCAGCCACACUGGGACUGAGACACGGCCCAGACUCCUACGGGAGGCAGCAGUGGGGAAUCUUGCCCAAUGGGCGCAAGCCUGAGGCAGCGACGCCGCGU
This 381-nucleotide ribosomal RNA is filed under the name uncultured bacterium. RNAcentral's name for it is "bacterial SSU rRNA". It matches the Rfam family "Bacterial small subunit ribosomal RNA", at positions 28 to 402 of the family's 1533-position model. The record is from RNAcentral.